UUUUAAAGAAGUUGCAAGACUCCACAGCCUUCCGACACAGGACUUUGUGGUGCGAAAUGAUAUGGGAUGUGGAUCAACUAUAGGUCCAAUACUUGCUGCAGGAGUUGGAAUACGUACUGUUGAUUGUGGUAUUGCUCAGCUAUCCAUGCACAGCGUGAGAGAGAUAUGUGGAAAGGAAGAUGUGGAUAUUGCAUACAAGCACUUCAAGGCAUUUUACCAGUCAUUCUCAAGCAUAGACAGGAAGUUGAAUGUGGAUUGAUAAUUGAUGAAGUGAAAAACUUGGCCUUUUAGUUCACAACCCCUUAAUAGCAUAAUUUUUUUACUUGUUUUUUUCUCUUGGGAGUACAAUUGGUAGUAGACCUUUUAGCUAAGCACUUCGAUUUGAUUACUAAACUAG
This 397-nucleotide unclassified non-coding RNA is filed under the name Hevea brasiliensis (rubber tree). The record is from RNAcentral. Lineage: Eukaryota; Viridiplantae; Streptophyta; Magnoliopsida; Malpighiales; Euphorbiaceae.